Molecule: ribosomal RNA, 497 nt
Filed under: uncultured bacterium
Lineage: Bacteria
Description: partial 16S ribosomal RNA
Rfam family: Bacterial small subunit ribosomal RNA
Source: RNAcentral
GAUGAACGCUGGCGGCGUGCCUAAUACAUGCAAGUCGAGCGAACGGACGAGAAGCUUGCUUCUCUGAUGUUAGCGGCGGACGGGUGAGUAACACGUGGAUAACCUACCUAUAAGACUGGGAUAAUUUCGGGAAACCGGAGCUAAUACCGGAUAAUAUUUUGAGCCGCAUGGUUCAAAAGUGAAAGACGGUCUUGCUGUCACUUAUAGAUGGAUCCGCGCUGCAUUAGCUAGUUGGUAAGGUAACGGCUUACCAAGGCAACGAUGCAUAGCCGACCUGAGAGGGUGAUCGGCCACACUGGAACUGAGACACGGUCCAGACUCCUACGGGAGGCAGCAGUAGGGAAUCUUCCGCAAUGGGCGAAAGCCUGACGGAGCAACGCCGCGUGAGUGAUGAAGGUCUUCGGAUCGUAAAACUCUGUUAUUAGGGAAGAACAUAUGUGUAAGUAACUGUGCACAUCUUGACGGUACCUAAUCAGAAAGCCACGGCUAACUACGUG